RNAcentral lists this ribosomal RNA (252 nucleotides) under uncultured bacterium. Its description in RNAcentral is "partial 16S ribosomal RNA". It matches the Rfam family "Bacterial small subunit ribosomal RNA", at positions 524 to 776 of the family's 1533-position model. The record is from RNAcentral.
UACGUAGGGGGCAAGCGUUGUCCGGAAUUAUUGGGCGUAAAGCGCGCGCAGGCGGCUUUGUAAGUCUGUCGUUUAAGUUCGGGGCUCAACCCCGUAUCGCGAUGGAAACUGCAAGGCUUGAGUGCAGAAGAGGAAAGUGGAAUUCCACGUGUAGCGGUGAAAUGCGUAGAGAUGUGGAGGAACACCAGUGGCGAAGGCGGCCCGCUGGGCAGUGGCUGACGCUGAGGCGCGAAAGCGUGGGGAGCGAACAGG